CUGGCCUGACGUGGCGAUUUGGUCGACCGGCUUGCGGACCACGUAAAAAAAUCCGCUAAAAGGUCGGAGCUUAUUGAAA
Molecule: non-coding RNA, 79 nt
Filed under: Rhodospirillales bacterium
Lineage: Bacteria; Pseudomonadati; Pseudomonadota; Alphaproteobacteria; Rhodospirillales
Source: RNAcentral